This 253-nucleotide ribosomal RNA is filed under the name uncultured bacterium. Its description in RNAcentral is "partial 16S ribosomal RNA". It matches the Rfam family "Bacterial small subunit ribosomal RNA", at positions 524 to 776 of the family's 1533-position model. The record is from RNAcentral.
UACGGACGGGGCAAGCGUUGUUCGGAAUCAUUGGGCGUAAAGGGCGCGCAGGUGGCUCUGUAUGUCUGCCGUGAAAGCAUACAGCUCAACUGUAUUGUGUCGGUAGAAACUGCAGGACUUGAGGCUGGGAGGGGCUGGUGGAAUUCCCUGUGUAGCGGUGAAAUGCGUAGAGAUGGGGGAGAACACUCGUGGCGAAGGCGGCCAGCUAGACCAGUUCUGACACUGAGGCGCGACAGCGUGGGGAGCAAACAGG